GACGAACGCUGGCGGCGUGCCUAAUACAUGCAAGUCGAACGCUGAAGGAGGAGCUUGCUCUUCUGGAUGAGUUGCGAACGGGUGAGUAACGCGUAGGUAACCUGCCUGGUAGCGGGGGAUAACUAUUGGAAACGAUAGCUAAUACCGCAUAACAGUAGAUGUUGCAUGACAUUUGCUUAAAAGGUGCAAUUGCAUCACUACCAGAUGGACCUGCGUUGUAUUAGCUAGUUGGUGGGGUAACGGCUCACCAAGGCGACGAUACAUAGCCGACCUGAGAGGGUGAUCGGCCACACUGGGACUGGGACACGGCCCAGACUCCUACGGGAGGGAGCAGUAGGGAAUCUUCGGCAAUGGACGGAAGUCUGACCGAGCAACGCCGCGUGAGGGAAGAAGGGUUUCGGAUCGGAAAGCUCCGUUGUAAGAGAAGAACGAGUGUGAGAGUGGAAAGUUCACACUGUGACGGUAUCUAACCAGAAAGGGACGGCUAACUACGUG
RNAcentral lists this ribosomal RNA (495 nucleotides) under uncultured bacterium. Its description in RNAcentral is "partial 16S ribosomal RNA". It matches the Rfam family "Bacterial small subunit ribosomal RNA", at positions 28 to 507 of the family's 1533-position model. The record is from RNAcentral.